UUGGACAAUGGGCGGAAGCCUGAUCCAGCCAUGCCGCGUGAAGGACUAAGGCCCUAUGGGUCGUAAACUUCUUUUGACGCAGAGCAAUAAGGGACACGUGUGUUCCGAUGAGAGUAUGCGUCGAAUAAGCAUCGGCUAACUCCGUGCCAGCAGCCGCGGUAAUACGGAGGAUGCGAGCGUUAUCCGGAUUUAUUGGGUUUAAAGGGUGCGUAGGCUGUCGGUUAAGUCAGCGGUGAAAUCAGCACGCUUAACGUGUUGUUUGCCGUUGAAACUGUCCGUCUUGAAUGCGCUCGUCGUGGGAGGAAUGUGUGGUGUAGCGGUGAAAUGCAUAGAUAUCACACAGAACACCGAUUGCGAAGGCAUCUCACGAGAGCGUUAUUGACGCUGAUGCACGAAAAGCGCGGGUAUCGAACAGGAUUAGGAUACCCUGGGUAGUCCCGCGCUGUAAACGAUGAUGACUAACCUGUUGGUUCUAAUGGGAUCAGUGGUCCAAGCGAAAGCGUUAAGUCAUCCACCUGGGGGAGUACGGCCGCGAAGGCUGGAAACUCGAAAGACUGGACCGGGGGCCCGCAACAAGCGGAUGAACAUGUAGGUUUAA
RNAcentral lists this ribosomal RNA (598 nucleotides) under Bacteroidetes bacterium oral taxon 365. RNAcentral's name for it is "bacterial SSU rRNA". It matches the Rfam family "Bacterial small subunit ribosomal RNA", at positions 364 to 950 of the family's 1533-position model. The record is from RNAcentral. Lineage: Bacteria; Pseudomonadati; Bacteroidota.